Molecule: transfer RNA, 72 nt
Filed under: Chelonia mydas (Green sea turtle)
Lineage: Eukaryota; Metazoa; Chordata; Testudines; Cheloniidae
Rfam family: tRNA
About the family: Transfer RNA (tRNA) molecules are approximately 80 nucleotides in length. Their secondary structure includes four short double-helical elements and three loops (D, anti-codon, and T loops).
Source: Rfam by way of RNAcentral
GGGGGUAUAGUGCAGUGACAGAAUGUUAAACUGUGGUCCAAGUGGUCCUUGGUUCAAAUCCAAGUACCCCCU